UACGUAGGGUGCGAGCGUUAAUCGGAAUUACUGGGCGUAAAGCGUGCGUAGGCGGUUCGUUAAGUCAGCUGUGAAAGCCCCGGGCUCAACCUGGGAAUUGCGGUUGAAACUGGCGAAUUAGAAUCUGGCAGAGGGGGGUGGAAUUCCACGUGUAGCAGUGAAAUGCGUAGAGAUGUGGAGGAACACCGAUGGCGAAGGCAGCCCCCUGGGCUGAGAUUGACGCUCAGGCACGAAAGCGUGGGGAGCAAACAGG
Molecule: ribosomal RNA, 253 nt
Filed under: uncultured bacterium
Lineage: Bacteria
Description: partial 16S ribosomal RNA
Rfam family: Bacterial small subunit ribosomal RNA
Source: RNAcentral